AUUGAACGCUGGCGGCAUGCCUUACACAUGCAAGUCGAACGGUAACGGGCCUUCGGGUGCCGACGAGUGGCGAACGGGUGAGUAAUACAUCGGAACGUGCCCGAUCGUGGGGAUAACGAGGCGAAAGCUUUGCUAAUACCGCAUACGAUCUACGGAUGAAAGCAGGGGACCGCAAGGCCUUGCGCGGACGGAGCGGCCGAUGGCAGAUUAGGUAGUUGGUGGGAUAAAAGCUUACCAAGCCGACGAUCUGUAGCUGGUCUGAGAGGAUGAUCAGCCACACUGGGACUGAGACACGGCCCAGACUCCUACGGGAGGCAGCAGUGGGGAAUUUUGGACGAUGGGCGCAAGCCUGAUCCAGCCAUGCCGCGUGCAGGAUGAAGGCCUUCGGGUUGUAAACUGCUUUUGUACGGAACGAAAAGCCUUCUUUUAAUACAGGAGGGUCAUGACGGUACCGUAAGAAUAAGCACCGGCUAACUACGUG
This 481-nucleotide ribosomal RNA is filed under the name uncultured bacterium. Its description in RNAcentral is "partial 16S ribosomal RNA". It matches the Rfam family "Bacterial small subunit ribosomal RNA", at positions 30 to 507 of the family's 1533-position model. The record is from RNAcentral.